UACGUAGGAGACAAACGUUAUCCGGAAUUACUGGGCGUAAAGGGUCCGUAGGCGGUGCGGAAAGUCGAUAGUGAAAUCUCUGGGCUUAACCCAGAGGCUGCUAACGAAGCUGCCGUGCUAGAGUGUGAGAGAGGCGAGUGGAAUUACGGGUGUAGCGGUGAAAUGCGUAGAUAUCCGUAGGAACAUCCGAGGCGAAAGCGGCUCGCUGGAUCACAACUGACGCUGAGGGACGAAAGCUAGGGGAGCAAACAGG
RNAcentral lists this ribosomal RNA (253 nucleotides) under uncultured bacterium. RNAcentral's name for it is "partial 16S ribosomal RNA". It matches the Rfam family "Bacterial small subunit ribosomal RNA", at positions 524 to 776 of the family's 1533-position model. The record is from RNAcentral.